UCCCCGACUGCCCGGCGCGCCCCGGCACCCACUCUGCGGCUCCACGCGGCCCGCGCCCGGUACUGGCCCUCACGGUACGGGGUGGCCAGUAGGGGCCGGAGACCCCCGCUCGGCGCACUUCCCUAGAAGAUCCCCCACCCUCAGUAGCCUUGGCGGGGCCUUUCGGAGUCGCGUGGGUGCGGGCGGGGACAGCUUCCUCCCCGGCCGUCGCAGCCAGGAGCGCUCGGUAAAGCCUCUAGAGAUGGCUGGAACCUGGCCACCGGAGCCAUCCCUUCGCAAGGACGUGGCCAGAGUCUCUGAGCAGCACCAGCAUCAACAGAGAAAACUGCAGGACAGCUCACAGCGGCUCCCCUGGGUGCCGGCCUUCUGCCCAGGAGGCCACCUGCCUCUCCAAGCCUCAGGGGACAUCUGUGAGAUGGGGUGGGGGCUCAGCUGCAAAACUGUGAAGACUUCAGACAAAGCCAUGUAAAAGUGAUGUGAAGUGACACACCCCCCUGAGGGGUCACCAUCAGUCCCCUAGGUGACCUUCCAUCAUCCUUCUUUCCUGGGGUAUGGGCUGGAGAGAAGGGGGCAGAGGGAGCGGGGCUCACCCAGAGAAAUGGGCAGAACAGACUCAGCAUCAGGGUCAGGGCUCCCUGAGCCCUGUCCUCUGCCUGGCCUGCCCUUGGCAUGACUGGGGCAGCCGAGGGCCCCUCUCAGGACAUGGGACACAGGGCCUUGUCUGCAUAAACAGUUUAAAUGCAAAAACAACAAAAAGCUUAAAAAUCACUUCUUAAGCUGAGUCCAUCUAAGGCCUGGGGUACAAGGUUCUAGACUCUGUCCCAAGAGCAAAGCCUGAGAGAGAAGCAGGAGGACUCAGAAAAUGAAGACGAGGGGAGGAGAGCCCCGGGCGAGCAAGCCCCCAGACCCACCAUGGCUUCAGGGACCUGGCUCACAGCGCUUCCCACCUUCCAGUCCGGCUCCAGAACAGAGCGAGAACUCUCCCUGCAAAGGAGCACAAGGUAUGCUUCCAAGAAUUGUGAGCAGCAUGAUUGGAAAAAAACUAACUGUUCUGGCCAAGUUAGGAGCCCUUAAAGAAAUCACAGUGUAUCCUGCAGUGGAGGCUUCAAAGCAGUUAGAGACCCAAGCAACUCUCUGUGUAUCAAUAUGGAACAAUUCCUAAGAUACAGUGUUACAACUGGGGAAAGCAACCCCCUUGGAUCCAGCCUGCUGCAGAUAUUCCACUCUCUGGGAGGCACACAAGCCUUAACCAAGCUUUGGGGGAUAUUAUCAGAUAGGAGGAACAGCGGAGAAGGCAAUGGCACCCCACUCCAAUACUCUUGCCUGGAAAAAUCCCAUGGACGGAGGAGCCUGGUAGGCUGCAGUCCAUGGGGACACUAAGAGUCGGACACGACUGAGCGACUUCCCUUUCACUUUUCACUUUCAUGCGUUGGAGGAGGAAACGGCAGCCCACUCCAGUGUUCUUGCCUGGAGAAUCCCAGGGACGGGGGAGCCUGGUGGGCUGCCGCCUAUGGGGUCGCACAGAGUCGGACAUGACUGAAGCAACUUAGCAGCAGCAGCAGGAACAAAGGUCGCUGAAAUGCCCUUUUAUGUUUUGGGUUUUUUUUUUUUUUUGGCUGCACACAUGUAUCAUCUAUUCACAUAAUAAAUUCUAUAUGAGCACAGUGGGGAC
Bos taurus (domestic cattle) is the source of this 1672-nucleotide long non-coding RNA. The record is from Ensembl. Lineage: Eukaryota; Metazoa; Chordata; Mammalia; Artiodactyla; Bovidae.